AGUUCUAUUUCAUGUCCCGUGUCAUGAACAAGGUCACCUACGCUUACAUCGUACCCAACAACACUGAGCAAGACGCUCAGAAAAAAGUCAAGGCAGACCUAAGCAGUUUUGUGAAGCCUUUAGAGGUUCAUCUGAUAGAUACCUCUGGAGAAGAAGACGAGGUCAUCGGUGAACUGCUGUGUUUUCAGGGCUAUGCUCGGCGGCCGUGAGGCUCUCCCACCUCGAAGUGAGCACACAUAUUCAUCCAGGAUGUGUGGUGUACCGUCAUGGGCAAACUUCAAUGGACCUUCACCUCAAGCUUUUGCUCGAUCCUGCAAGAAAAGUCACACAUACCCACAUGAUGUGCGGAGAGAAAAGUCAUUGAUGAACAGACUUUAAAGUUUUGCCAGGGCUGCGCUUGGUGGUCCAGGGUCCAUCCACUUGGACUGAGAGGGCAAAAACACACACAGGCCCACGGCGAUAUUUCUGAGUACCAGAUGAGUCCACAAUAAUGUGUAUUUAAUACUGAAUUAUUGAUGAUGUUUCAUUCUUGCUUUGAAAAAUAAAAGGAACAAACAAAAUGUAACCCAACA
Molecule: long non-coding RNA, 572 nt
Organism: Aplysia californica (California sea hare)
Lineage: Eukaryota; Metazoa; Mollusca; Gastropoda; Aplysiida; Aplysiidae
Exons: 2
Source: RefSeq, a predicted model, not a curated record